Molecule: long non-coding RNA, 2420 nt
Organism: Felis catus (domestic cat)
Lineage: Eukaryota; Metazoa; Chordata; Mammalia; Carnivora; Felidae
Exons: 3
Source: RefSeq, a predicted model, not a curated record
AGUCAGCCGGCCUCCAGGGGCUGGCAUGCCUGCCCACCCCUCCCUGCACGGCUGCCCCUUGAUCUGUGUCACAGAGAGGGCACCACCUUUGACCAAAAGGUCAGGGACACGCUUGGGGUGUCUAGGGUGCCAGUCCCACUCAGCAAGGCCCCGGGGUCUUCCCUGGCCUCAGCCCAUGCGCUGGUCAGGUGCCCAACCCGCCUGUAGGGCCCCGGUCCUGCUGCUGGCCUGCCUGCCAGCCGGCCCUGGGGGUGCCAGGGAGCCGAAAUCUCUCUCAGGACUUGGGCUGGGGCCUCCCCCUAAGAAGAGCUGGGGUUGACAUUUGAGUGUGAGUGGUUUAUGUGGGAGAUGGUUCUGGAAGAGCCAGUCGGGGAGCCAGGAAGGGGACAGCAGGCCCCAGGAGCUUUGUCCAGUCCUGGACAGUGGUAGGUAUUACCUAGGUAUUACCCACGACCCCACGUCGGAGCCCCUCCUUGAGUGAGCAGAGGGAGAUGCCAGGUGGGAGACAGGACCCAGGUGGCCACACGGUGUCCAUCUGUGCCUUUUGGCCAUCACAGCAGCCCUCAGGUCAGACAGUCCUUCCUUCCCAUUGGGCAACAAGAAGGUGCUUGCUGACCUGAGUCCACACAGCAAGGUGUCUGAGCAGCGCCAGGAGCCGAACCCUGAGAAUAAACUGGAGGAAGAGUGUACGAAACCGCCCACACCACAGGUCCGCAUGCCGAGGCGGGGGCCGGCUCUGAAGGGCGUGUGGCUUACGUAGGCUGACAGCCGCCUUCCCCGGUGAGACAGGUUCCGGGCGUCCGGCCUCCCCGGUGGCCCUGGGCAGUGGACAGAGGGGGGCCGAGUACCCCCCGGCUGCUGGCCAGGCCUGCGCGAGCCUCUGCUGAGGCCCGAUGGUUGCAGGCACCCUGACUUAAAAGUAAUCCCAGAGGAGGGCCUCCCCUUGCAGGGAGCGCUUGGCUGGCUGAGUGCUCUGGGUUCUCGAAGAGCGGGCAGACCUUUCUGCUCGGACCACUCAGAUCUCCUGGCCCCAGACGGGAGGCUGCUGCCGUGGAGCGAAGUUGGAGGCAAAAAGCCAAUUCCAGGUGAGGAGCUCUGGCCGAAGAUCUGCUCGAAUCCAGGGGAGAGCUCCCGGAGAUGCACAUUCCUGGGCUAUUUCCGGAAGGCCUGGCUCGAGGGCUAAGCGGCCUCCGGGGCACCUGGAGCCGGGAGCGCGGGCCAUCCUCUGAGAGGAGGGUACAAAAACACCCUCUAUAACACACACACGCUGCUUUAGGAAGGAGCCAAAAAUCAGAAUCGGGGCUCAAUCAGAGGCUCAAAGAUGCCCCCGGGGCCCGGGCCCUGCUCGUGGGGGUCCCCCAUGGAGAUGCCACCCUAGUCUCUUGAACUAUGGGUAGGGGUAGCCCUCAAGCCCCCAGGCCAGCCAGGCAGUCUCCGUCGUGGCCAGCCUCCCCUUUAAAGGCUGGACGGGAGGCCAGGACACCAGAAGCGCCUCCCAAAAGCACGUCUGGGCAGAGCAGGUCAGCACCACGUGCCCUGGGCCGGUCUGGACGUGCUGGCCGCUGGCUCCCAGCCCUCCCGGCUUCAUCCCGGCCGCCACCCUUUCCGGGGUCCGUGACUGGUCUGGCGUCUCCCGGGAGCUGCCCCUGAGCGAGGAAGACACCUUCCGGCGUCUUUUUCAGGCACUGUCUCUUUGAACCCUCACGAGGGUCCUGUGACGUAGGUGUGGUGCACCCGCUGCAGCUGGGCGUAAGUGGACGCAGCUGGAGGGAAACCCAAGCCUCACGUGCUGCCUCUGAGCCCAGGGGGCUCUGUCUCAGACCUGCCAACACUCACACCAGAUAAGGGGACUCCAGGCUGGGCGGCAGAAGGUUCCGGGGCGCGAGCCUUCCUUACAUCCUGACCUGUCACCGCGUAAGACGAUCCCCUCUGAAGGGACCCUGAUGACACCGGCAGAGCCAGAUUGAAAUUGGACCUGGGAGGGAGCCCACCUGCUUGCGGUUCUGGAAGCCUCCAGCUUGCAGGACUUCCAGGACCCUGCUGAACAGAAGUGGUGUGAGCAGGAACCCUGUCUUCUUCCUGAUCUCAGAGGAAGGGCUUGUCAUAUAUGGCCUUUAUUAUGUUGAGUCUCUUACAGGGUUUCCAAAAUGUCACCAACUCAUGAACACUCUCUAAGAGCCUAGCACAGUGCCUGGCAUACAACAGGUAGCAUGGGAAGCUGACUGAGUAAACACAAUAUUGAUGAUCGAAGUGCCUCAAAAUGCCUCUUGUUAAUUAUUAUUUACAAAUCACACAAUCUAAACUGUAAUGCUAAGUGUAGCCUUAGUGGCAAAAUUAAAACCCUGGUGUGUUUCAAGUACUUGUUAAAAAGCUUUUCUGGGGAGCCUGGGUGGCUCAAUUGGUUGGGUGUCUGAAUCUUG